ACAUUUCCCUCCUCAAGUCUUGUUUUGAAUUCUUCCAAAUUUCUCCCAUUGAGUGUAAUCCUUAUCUGAUGUGAGACAUCAUAGGCAUAUUACGCUUCCAUAGCACCACUAUUUCUUCAUGGGGAACUCUGCAAUGACCAGUUAGGAAUGAAGUUUUUGGGAGCUUCUAAAUCAAGAUCCAGGGUUAAUGGUUUAGAUGUUUUUCCAAGAUGAAUCCUACAGCAUGCUGAAAACAGACUGGAGAAGGAGCAAAUAAUGAAAGAACAAAGAGCAGCUUCAGAAGAGGCAUUUUCUCAGAAGCAAAAUGGCUAUAGAUUCAGAAAGCAAAAAUGAAAUUUGGACCUCUACAAGAGCAAGAACCAUGGUCUAUGGACCUUCAAUUGUCCUAGGUACCUAUCCAGUGUCAUAGAGUUCUCCAAAUGAAUGGACAUUCAGCAAUACAAUUAGCAAGGCCAUAUUGGUAUGUUUAUAUUGAAUUUAAAGCCUUUGGGAUACCUUGGAAAUUCUCUGUACUCUUCUUUUUUUAUUUAUAGUCUGCACAUAAGUAUGCUCUCCACCUUAGAAUAGCUCUGUUGAUCAAAAUGUGCUUUGAUGUGGGGGUAAUA
Molecule: long non-coding RNA, 605 nt
Organism: Pantherophis guttatus
Lineage: Eukaryota; Metazoa; Chordata; Lepidosauria; Squamata; Colubridae
Source: RefSeq, a predicted model, not a curated record